UCACCCUUUAAGGAUGCUGAGGCCUAGA
This 28-nucleotide non-coding RNA is filed under the name Homo sapiens (human). Lineage: Eukaryota; Metazoa; Chordata; Mammalia; Primates; Hominidae. The record is from RNAcentral.